This 554-nucleotide ribosomal RNA is filed under the name uncultured bacterium. Its description in RNAcentral is "partial 16S ribosomal RNA". It matches the Rfam family "Bacterial small subunit ribosomal RNA", at positions 355 to 902 of the family's 1533-position model. The record is from RNAcentral.
UGGGGAAUUUUGGACAAUGGGCGAAAGCCUGAUCCAGCAAUGCCGCGUGUGUGAAGAAGGCCUUCGGGUUGUAAAGCACUUUUGUCCGGAAAGAAAUCCUUGGCUCUAAUACAGUCGGGGGAUGACGGUACCGGAAGAAUAAGCACCGGCUAACUACGUGCCAGCAGCCGCGGUAAUACGUAGGGUGCAAGCGUUAAUCGGAAUUACUGGGCGUAAAGCGUGCGCAGGCGGUUUGCUAAGACCGAUGUGAAAUCCCCGGGCUCAACCUGGGAACUGCAUUGGUGACUGGCAGGCUAGAGUAUGGCAGAGGGGGGUAGAAUUCCACGUGUAGCAGUGAAAUGCGUAGAGAUGUGGAGGAAUACCGAUGGCGAAGGCAGCCCCCUGGGCCAAUACUGACGCUCAUGCACGAAAGCGUGGGGAGCAAACAGGAUUAGAUACCCUGGUAGUCCACGCCCUAAACGAUGUCAACUAGUUGUUGGGGAUUCAUUUCCUUAGUAACGUAGCUAACGCGUGAAGUUGACCGCCUGGGGAGUACGGUCGCAAGAUUAAAACUC